GACGAACGCUGGCGGCGUGCUUAGUACAUGCAAGUCGAACGGAAAGGCCCUGCUCUUGUGGGGUGCUCGAGUGGCGAACGGGUGAGUAACACGUGAGUAACCUGCCCUUGACUUUGGGAUAACUUCAGGAAACUGGGGCUAAUACCGGAUAGGAGCUCCUGCUGCAUGGUGGGGGAUGGAAAGUGUCGGCGGUUGGGGAUGGACUCGCGGCUUACGGGCUUGUUGGUGGGGUAGUGGCUUACCAAGGGUGUGACGGGUAGCCGGCAUGGGAGGGUGGCCGGCGACCAGAGGACUGCGAGACGGAGCAGACGCGUACGGGAGGCAGCAGGCGGGAGUAUUGCACAAUGGGGGGACGCGUGAUGCAGCAGCGUUGCGUGCGGGAUGCCGGCUUUUGGGUUAUAAACCGAUUUCUACGGUGACGAAGCGUGAGUGACGGUAACGGGUAAAGAAGCAACGGCUAACUACGUG
This 468-nucleotide ribosomal RNA is filed under the name uncultured bacterium. RNAcentral describes it as "partial 16S ribosomal RNA". It matches the Rfam family "Bacterial small subunit ribosomal RNA", at positions 28 to 507 of the family's 1533-position model. The record is from RNAcentral.